Molecule: ribosomal RNA, 313 nt
Filed under: Plesiomonas shigelloides
Lineage: Bacteria; Pseudomonadati; Pseudomonadota; Gammaproteobacteria; Enterobacterales; Enterobacteriaceae
Description: partial 23S ribosomal RNA
Rfam family: Bacterial large subunit ribosomal RNA
Source: RNAcentral
GGGUAGAGCACUGUUAAGGCUAGGGGGUCAUCCCGACUUACCAACCCUUUGCAAACUCCGAAUACCGUAGAGUGCUAUCCGGGAGACACACGGCGGGUGCUAACGUCCGUCGUGAAGAGGGAAACAACCCAGACCGCCAGCUAAGGUCCCAAAGUCAUGGUUAAGUGGGAAACGAUGUGGGAAGGCUUAGACAGCUAGGAUGUUGGCUUAGAAGCAGCCAUCAUUUAAAGAAAGCGUAAUAGCUCACUAGUCGAGUCGGCCUGCGCGGAAGAUGUAACGGGGCUAAACCAUGCACCGAAGCUGCGGCAAUGAC